GACGAACGCUGGCGGCGUGCUUAACACAUGCAAGUCGAACGGAAAGGCCCUGCUUUUGUGGGGUGCUCGAGUGGCGAACGGGUGAGUAACACGUGAGUAACCUGCCCUUGACUUUGGGAUAACUUCAGGAAACUGGGGCUCAUACCGGAUAGGAGCUCCUGCUGCAUGGUGGGGGUUGGAAAGUUUCGGCGGUUGGGGAUGGACUCGCGGCUUAUCAGCUUGUUGGUGGGGUAGUGGCUUACCAAGGCUUUGACGGGUAGCCGGCCUGAGAGGGUGACCGGCCACAUGGGGACUGAGGUACGGCCCAGAAUCCUACGGGAGGCAACAGUGGGGAAUAUGGCACAAUGGGCGGAAGCCUGAUGCAGCAACGCCGCGUGCGGGAUGACGGCCUUCGGGUUGUAAACCGCUUUCGCCUGUGACGAAGCGUGAGUGACGGUAAUGGGUAAAGAAGCACCGGCUAACUACGUG
This 468-nucleotide ribosomal RNA is filed under the name uncultured bacterium. Its description in RNAcentral is "partial 16S ribosomal RNA". It matches the Rfam family "Bacterial small subunit ribosomal RNA", at positions 28 to 507 of the family's 1533-position model. The record is from RNAcentral.